CCCCUUCCCCAACACCACUCCCCUCCUCCCGACAGUCAUCCCAGUCUUCGAUCUCGCGAGAUUUCUCGCCUGACAGGCCCGGCCCUGCGCGAGACAAGACUGCGUACGCGUGCGCGCCCUCACGGGAGCGCGCGAGUGCUUGCACUGGGCGGAGUCGUCCGUUUGGCCCGGAGUCCCAGCCCCUGUCCAGCCCGGCCUCAGUCAGCUGGCGGAGCUCUUAUGCCACGCGGACGUCAGGAUGAAGAUGAUGAUGUUCCCAUUACAAAGGAGGAAAGCUCAGAAAAAUUAAGUAACUUUGUGCAACAUUACUCAGCUGGUAUCUAUCGGUUAAGCAUCUGCAGUAAGCCAUGAAUAAGUUAGAGCAGCUGCAUCAGAGUCGAAAAGAAAUCCAGCCCUGAAGUUAUCAAGCAGAGGAUGUGAGGGGAGUAUAGCAGGAGUUAAAAACGUUGACUGUGAAGUCCUACCUCCAGCACUUGUAGGAAAGGCUAUAUUAAAUUCCCG
Molecule: long non-coding RNA, 501 nt
Filed under: Equus caballus (horse)
Lineage: Eukaryota; Metazoa; Chordata; Mammalia; Perissodactyla; Equidae
Description: lncRNA (ENSECAG00000039522.3)
Source: RNAcentral